Molecule: ribosomal RNA, 371 nt
Filed under: uncultured bacterium
Lineage: Bacteria
Description: bacterial SSU rRNA
Rfam family: Bacterial small subunit ribosomal RNA
Source: RNAcentral
GGAGGGUGCGAGCGUUGUUCGGAAUUAUUGGGCGUAAAGCGCGUGUAGGCGGUCUUUUAAGUCUGAUGUGAAAGCCCUGGGCUCAACCUGGGAAGUGCAUUGGAAACUGGAAGACUUGAAUACGGGAGAGGGUAGUGGAAUUCCUAGUGUAGGAGUGAAAUCCGUAGAUAUUAGGAGGAACACCGGUGGCGAAGGCGGCUACCUGGACCGAUAUUGACGCUGAGACGCGAAAGCGUGGGGAGCAAACAGGAUUAGAUACCCUGGUAGUCCACGCCGUAAACGAUGAGUACUAGGUGUUGCGGGUAUUGACCCCUGCAGUGCCGCAGCUAACGCAUUAAGUACUCCGCCUGGGAAGUACGGUCGCAAGACUA